UUGUUGUAGUUAAUGAGUGUGGUCACAGAUAAAAGGAUAAGGGCCACUAGGGCCAGACGCCGCCGGUGUCGUUGAAAAUGUCAGUAACUACCAGUGUUCCGUUCAUGUCAGUACAAUGGAUUGAGAUUAUAAAAUUUGAUUUUAUGACAUGUCGAUGUCGUUGCUUAUUGAUAAAGAAUUCUAGAUUAUUAAAUCGAGGAUUAAAUGUAUUAAUUUGUGUUAUCAAAAAUAUCAAUACUCAUUAGUCAGUUUUAUAGUCACUAUAGUAUUAAUCGUCCAAAUAUUUAGAAACUUAGUUUCUUAAAAACAAGGAAUCGUUUGAAUCUAGAAGUGAUUGAGCUAGGUUCAGGUAGAAUGUGUUGGUAUCAGACUGUUGCAUGUUUCGGAUGUUUCGGCUAAAUCAAAGCUUAUUAAAAGAACAUUGGAAAAUUUUAAGUUGUCAGGAAGAGGAUACAUUUUGGCAGAAAAAGUACCUUGGGAUGAAUAUCAAUGACUGUUUAUUACCAUAAAAUUGAUAUGUAAUCCAAAAUCGAUGUUUUUCUAUAAUUAAAAAGUUAUCAUUUACUUAUCAAAUUAUAGUAGUUAUUUUAAUAUUAUUAAUUAUUAUUAAUUUACUAUUUUUAGAGAAAUAAACGUAUCAAUAAAUUAUGUGAGUGGCGUCAUGUAAUCUAUAAAGAAGAUAUUUUGGAAUAAGCCAGAAUUAAUGACACUAUUGCUUGGACAACUGCACCAACUAACAUAAUCUCAACAAAAAAAUUAAAUUUUCCUACAACCUAUCUUCAACAAUAUUUGCAUAUUAUCAAUAGAAAACCUAUAAUAGUAUUCUAGAACAGAACCGCACCAUCACAGGCAUUAUAAUGUCAAUAUAUUAAACUAUAGCUUAAUAAAAAAUAUUAUUGUUUAGAUAGUUAAAAGGUACAAUUAUCAUACAACAUCAUAUUAUAAUGACAAUAAUAACAAUGAAUUUAAUGUUAAAUUAGUUACCUUAGAAAGUAGGAAAUUGAUAUAAUCAAGAUAAAUACAAACAAUGGUUUGACUUUCACUCUUAAAUAAUCCUUUUGGAUAUAAUUGUUCAGUAUUCUUUCUGGAUUACUGUGAUUGUAAAUUUGGCAAAUUUUCAAAACAAUUUUGAAGAUCUGUUUUCUUUCUUCUAGAGAUAAAAUUAAAUUCUUCAUUAUUAUUAUUUAAUUGCACAAAUUUAGAUGAUGAAUAUUAAGUCAAUAAAAAUAAAAGAUACCUAUGUUAUAAA
This is a long non-coding RNA of Rhopalosiphum padi (bird cherry-oat aphid), 1249 nucleotides long. RefSeq lists it as uncharacterized. NCBI's taxonomy places the organism in Eukaryota, Metazoa, Arthropoda, Insecta, Hemiptera, Aphididae. The record is from RefSeq and is a predicted model, not a curated record. The transcript is spliced from 2 exons.